AGUUUAAUGGAGAAUACCAGCUUUGGGAGCUGGAGAUAGAGGUUUGAGCCCUCU
Molecule: transfer RNA, 54 nt
Filed under: Crypturellus undulatus
Lineage: Eukaryota; Metazoa; Chordata; Aves; Tinamiformes; Tinamidae
Description: tRNA-Pro
Rfam family: tRNA
About the family: Transfer RNA (tRNA) molecules are approximately 80 nucleotides in length. Their secondary structure includes four short double-helical elements and three loops (D, anti-codon, and T loops).
Source: RNAcentral